RNAcentral lists this ribosomal RNA (490 nucleotides) under uncultured bacterium. RNAcentral describes it as "partial 16S ribosomal RNA". It matches the Rfam family "Bacterial small subunit ribosomal RNA", at positions 30 to 507 of the family's 1533-position model. The record is from RNAcentral.
AUUGAACGCUGGCGGCAGGCCUAACACAUGCCAGUCGAACGGUAACAGAAAGCAGCUUGCUGCUUUGCUGACGAGUGGCGGACGGGUGAGUAAUGUCUGGGAAACUGCCUGAUGGAGGGGGAUAACUACUGGAAACGGUAGCUAAUACCGCAUAACGUCGCAAGACCAAAGAGGGGGACCUUCGGGCCUCUUGCCAUCGGAUGUGCCCAGAUGGGAUUAGCUUGUUGGUGGGGUAACGGCUCACCAAGGCGACGAUCCCUAGCUGGUCUGAGAGGAUGACCAGCCACACUGGAACUGAGACACGGUCCAGACUCCUACGGGAGGCAGCAGUGGGGAAUAUUGCACAAUGGGCGCAAGCCUGAUGCAGCCAUGCCGCGUGUAUGAAGAAGGCCUUCGGGUUGUAAAGUACUUUCAGCGGGGAGGAAGGGAGUAAAGUUAAUACCUUUGCUCAUUGACGUUACCCGCAGAAGAAGCGCCGGCUAACUCCGUG